GACGAACGCUGGCGGCGUGCUUAACACAUGCAAGUCGAACGGUGAAGCGCCUUCCUUUUUGGUGGGUGUGGAUGAGUGGCGAACGGGUGAGUAACACGUGAGUAACCUGCCCCCUUCUUCUGGAUAACCGCAUGAAAGUGUGGCUAAUACGGGAUAUUCUGGGUCUGUCGCAUGAUGGGUCUGGGAAAGAUAUUGUUUCGGUGGGGGAUGGGCUCGCGGCCUAUCAGCUUGUUGGUGGGGUGAUGGCCUACCAAGGCGGUGACGGGUAGCCGGCCUGAGAGGGUGGACGGUCACACUGGGACUGAGACACGGCCCAGACUCCUACGGGAGGCAGCAGUGGGGAAUAUUGCACAAUGGGCGCAAGCCUGAUGCAGCGACGCCGCGUGAGGGAUGGAGGCCUUCGGGUUGUGAACCUCUUUCGCCAGUGAAGCAGGCCUGCCUCGUUUGUGGGUGGGUUGACGGUAGCUGGAGAAGAAGCGCCCGCUAACUACGUG
Molecule: ribosomal RNA, 494 nt
Filed under: uncultured bacterium
Lineage: Bacteria
Description: partial 16S ribosomal RNA
Rfam family: Bacterial small subunit ribosomal RNA
Source: RNAcentral